Molecule: transfer RNA, 72 nt
Filed under: Candidatus Thorarchaeota archaeon
Lineage: Archaea; Promethearchaeati; Candidatus Thorarchaeota
Description: tRNA-Thr
Rfam family: tRNA
About the family: Transfer RNA (tRNA) molecules are approximately 80 nucleotides in length. Their secondary structure includes four short double-helical elements and three loops (D, anti-codon, and T loops).
Source: RNAcentral
GCCCCAGUAGCUCAGCCAGGUUAGAUCGCUUCCUUGGUAAGGUGGGACGCGAAUUCAAAUCUCGCCUGGGGC